RNAcentral lists this ribosomal RNA (513 nucleotides) under uncultured Methanococcoides sp. RNAcentral's name for it is "bacterial SSU rRNA". It matches the Rfam family "Archaeal small subunit ribosomal RNA", at positions 364 to 879 of the family's 1478-position model. Lineage: Archaea; Methanobacteriati; Methanobacteriota; Methanomicrobia; Methanosarcinales; Methanosarcinaceae. The record is from RNAcentral.
ACGGCGAUAAGGGGAGCGAGUGCCAGCAUAUUAUGUUGGCUGUCCACGUGUGUAAACGGCAUGUGUUAGCAAGGGCCGGGCAAGACCGGUGCCAGCCGCCGCGGUAACACCGGCGGCCCGAGUGGUAAUCACUUUUAUUGGGUCUAAAGGGUCCGUAGCCGGUUUGAUCAGUUCUUCGGGAAAUCUGACAGCUCAACUGUUAGGCUUCCGGGGAAUACUGUCAGACUUGGGACCGGGAGAGGUAAGAGGUACUACAGGGGUAGGAGUGAAAUCUUGUAAUCCCUGUGGGACCACCAGUGGCGAAGGCGUCUUACCAGAACGGGUCCGACGGUGAGGGACGAAAGCUGGGGGCACGAACCGGAUUAGAUACCCGGGUAGUCCCAGCCGUAAACGAUGUUCGCUAGGUGUCAGGGACGGUGCGACCGUUUCUGGUGCCGCAGGGAAGCCGUGAAGCGAACCACCUGGGAAGUACGGCCGCAAGGCUGAAACUUAAAGGAAUUGGCGGGGGAGCAC